RNAcentral lists this ribosomal RNA (253 nucleotides) under uncultured bacterium. RNAcentral's name for it is "partial 16S ribosomal RNA". It matches the Rfam family "Bacterial small subunit ribosomal RNA", at positions 524 to 776 of the family's 1533-position model. The record is from RNAcentral.
UACGUAGGGUGCAAGCGUUGUCCGGAAUUAUUGGGCGUAAAGGGCGCGUAGGCGGCCUGGCAAGUGGAAGGUGAAAUCCCUCGGCUUAACCGAGGAACUGCCUUCCAAACUGCUUGGCUUGAGUCCGGGAGAGGUGAGUGGAAUUCCCAGUGUAGCGGUGAAAUGCGUAGAUAUUGGGAGGAACACCAGUGGCGAAGGCGGCUCACUGGACCGGAACUGACGCUGAUGCGCGAAAGCGUGGGGAGCAAACGGG